Molecule: ribosomal RNA, 504 nt
Filed under: uncultured bacterium
Lineage: Bacteria
Description: bacterial SSU rRNA
Rfam family: Bacterial small subunit ribosomal RNA
Source: RNAcentral
AUUGAACGCUGGCGGCAUGCUUUACACAUGCAAGUCGAACGGUAACAGGGAGCUUGCUCCGCUGACGAGUGGCGAACGGGUGAGUAAUGCAUCGGAACGUACCCAGUCGUGGGGGAUAACGUAGCGAAAGUUACGCUAAUACCGCAUACGUCCUGAGGGAGAAAGCGGGGGACCGUAAGGCCUCGCGCGAUUGGAGCGGCCGAUGUCGGAUUAGCUAGUUGGUGGGGUAAAGGCCUACCAAGGCGACGAUCCGUAGCGGGUCUGAGAGGAUGAUCCGCCACACUGGGACUGAGACACGGCCCAGACUCCUACGGGAGGCAGCAGUGGGGAAUUUUGGACAAUGGGGGCAACCCUGAUCCAGCCAUGCCGCGUGAGUGAAGAAGGCCUUCGGGUUGUAAAGCUCUUUUCAGACGGAAAGAAAACGCAUCGGUGAAUACCCGGAUGUGGAUGACGGUACCGUAAGAAGAAGCACCGGCUAACUACGUGCCAGCAGCCGCGGUAAGG